This 490-nucleotide ribosomal RNA is filed under the name uncultured bacterium. Its description in RNAcentral is "partial 16S ribosomal RNA". It matches the Rfam family "Bacterial small subunit ribosomal RNA", at positions 28 to 507 of the family's 1533-position model. The record is from RNAcentral.
GAUGAACGCUAGCGAUAGGCUUAACACAUGCCAGUCGAGGGGCAGCAUGGUCUUAGCUUGCUAAGACUGAUGGCGACCGGCGCACGGGUGCGUAACGCGUAUGCAACUUGCCUCACAGAGGGGGAUAACCCGUCGAAAGACGGACUAAUACCGCGUACACUCCAUCUUGGGCAUCCAAGGUAGAGGAAAUGAAAUUCGCUGUGAGAUAGGCAUGCGUCCCAUUAGCUAGUUGGUGAGGUAACGGCUCACCAAGGCGACGAUGGGUAGGGGAACUGAGAGGUUGAACCCCCACACUGGUACUGAGACACGGACCAGACUCCUACGGGAGGCAGCAGUGAGGAAUAUUGGUCAAUGGGCGAGAGCCUGAACCAGCCAAGUCGCGUGAAGGAUGACUGUCUUAUGGAUUGUAAACUUCUUUUAUACGGGAAUAACAAGAGUCACGUGUGACUCCCUGCAUGUACCGUAUGAAUAAGCAUCGGCUAACUCCGUG